CCUUUGGCAAAAUGGGUCAAAAGAAGGACUUGACAGGCUCAGGAAAGUCAAAAAUAGUGAGAUAUCUUGCAGAGGCAUGCAGCAGUCUUAAAAUUGCAAAGCUUCUGAAGCGUGAUCAUCGAACAAUCAAGCGUUUCAUUCAAAAUAGUCAACAGGGUCGCAAGAAGCGUGUGGAAAAACCAAGGCGCAAAAUAACUGCCCAUGAACUGAGAAAAGUCAAGCGUGCAGCUGCCAAGAUGCCACUUUCCACCAGUUUGGCCAUAUUUCAGAGCUGCAACAUCACUGGAGUGCCCAAAAGCACAAGGUGUGCAAUACUCAGAGACAUGGCCAAGGUAAGAAAGGCUGAAAGACGACCACCACUGAACAAGACACACAAGCUGAAACACGACCACCACUGAACAAGACACACAAGCUGAAACGUCAAGACUGGGCCAAGAAAUAUCUCAAGACUGAUU
Molecule: long non-coding RNA, 455 nt
Organism: Oreochromis aureus
Lineage: Eukaryota; Metazoa; Chordata; Actinopteri; Cichliformes; Cichlidae
Source: Ensembl